Molecule: ribosomal RNA, 440 nt
Filed under: uncultured bacterium
Lineage: Bacteria
Description: partial 16S ribosomal RNA
Rfam family: Bacterial small subunit ribosomal RNA
Source: RNAcentral
CCUACGGGUGGCAGCAGUGGGGGAUAUUGCACAAUGGGGGAAACCCUGAUGCAGCGACGCCGCGUGUGGGAAGACGGUCCUCUGGAUUGUAAACCACUGUCCCCAGGGACGAAGAUGACGGUACCUGGGGAGGAAGCUCCGGCUAACUACGUGCCAGCAGCCGCGGUAAUACGUAGGGAGCGAGCGUUGUCCGGAAUUACUGGGUGUAAAGGGAGCGUAGGCGGGACUGCAAGUUGGGUGUCAAAUCUACCGGCUCAACCGGUAGCCGCACUCAAAACUGCAGUUCUUGAGUGAAGUAGAGGCAGGCGGAAUUCCUAGUGUAGCGGUGAAAUGCGUAGAUAUUAGGAGGAACACCAGUGGCGAAGGCGGCUUACUAAGCCAUAACUGACACUGAAGCACGAAAGCGUGGGGAUCAAACAGGAUUAGAUACCCGGGUAGUC